Regulatory RNA element from Lentibacillus amyloliquefaciens, 110 nucleotides. It matches the Rfam family "PyrR binding site". Rfam says of the family: This family represents the PyrR binding site and terminator structure. The record is from Rfam. NCBI's taxonomy places the organism in Bacteria, Bacillati, Bacillota, Bacilli, Caryophanales, Bacillaceae.
CAGACCUUUAAUUAAAUCCAGAGAGAUUUGAAAGGUCGCUUUAGGAAACGUGUUCUGAGUGAUAAGACACGUAAACCUCUUUGCGGCUUUUCGCAAAGAGGUUUUUUUGU